AGUGGACGCUGGCGGUAGGCCUAACACAUGCAAGUCGAACGGCAGCACAGUAAGAGCUUGCUCUUACGGGUGGCGAGUGGCGGACGGGUGAGGAAUACAUCGGAAUCUACUUUUUCGUGGGGGAUAACGUAGGGAAACUUACGCUAAUACCGCAUACGACCUACGGGUGAAAGCAGGGGAUCUUCGGACCUUGCGCGAUUGAAUGAGCCGAUGCCGGAUUAGCUAGUUGGCGGGGUAAAGGCCCACCAAGGCGACGAUCCGUAGCUGGUCUGAGAGGAUGAUCAGCCACACUGGAACUGAGACACGGUCCAGACUCCUACGGGAGGCAGCAGUGGGGAAUAUUGGACAAUGGGCGCAAGCCUGAUCCAGCCAUACCGCGUGGGUGAAGAAGGCCUUCGGGUUGUAAAGCCCUUUUGUUGGGAAAGAAAAGCAGCAGGUUAAUACCCCGCUGUUCUGACGGUACCCAAAGAAUAAGCACCGGCUAACUUCGUG
Molecule: ribosomal RNA, 492 nt
Filed under: uncultured bacterium
Lineage: Bacteria
Description: partial 16S ribosomal RNA
Rfam family: Bacterial small subunit ribosomal RNA
Source: RNAcentral